This 408-nucleotide unclassified non-coding RNA is filed under the name uncultured Funneliformis. RNAcentral's name for it is "sequence contains 28S rRNA gene". Lineage: Eukaryota; Fungi; Glomeromycota; Glomeromycetes; Glomerales; Glomeraceae. The record is from RNAcentral.
AGUUAAACAGUACGUGAAAUUGUUGAAAGGGAAACGAUUGAAGUCAGUCAUACUAACGGGAAAUCAACCUCCUGAGUUUGGUCUCGUGGGUUUCGAAGAGUUUAAAAGCCUUUGGAUUUUCGAGAUUGGGCUCUUCUGGUGUACUUUCUCGUACGGUUAGUCAACAUCGGUUUUGAAUGUCAUAAAAUGACUGGAGGAAUGUGGCUUCGAUCUCGUAUUGAAGUGUUAUAACCUUUGGUAGAUGUGAUGUUUGAGACCGAGGAUUGCAACGGAUACCCUUCUGGGCUAUUCGUCUGAUCUCUGAAACGUUGCCUUGAUGUCGAAAGCUUGCUUAUGAUGUUAGGGUAUUACGGUCAAAAGGUUAGAACGGAUUAAAUUCGUUAAGGAUGUUGACGUAAUGACUUUAAA